AAGUCUCUGUGACUCCAGCCUCGGGAAGCCCCGCCUCAGCUUAUCGAGGCCUCUGCCUGCUUCGGAAAAACUGGGCCAAAGGUCUCAGAACUCGAAGUCGAAGAAAAACAUCAUCUCUAACAUGAAUGCUUCCGAGAGUGCCUCGUUUAAUACAUUCACAGGAACAAGAAUCCCAGGAUAGAAUCUGUCCACACAGACAGUGGAGGAAGGACACUUCAGUGAUGUGAAGUGGUCGAAUGCUGCACCUCCAGAGCCUCAUAACAAUUUAUUCUGGCUGGGUGUUGGUGGCACAUGCCCUUAAUCCCAGCACUCGGGAGUCAGAGGAAGGCAGAUCUCUGUGAGUUCGAAGCCAGCCCGGUCUACAAAGUGAGUUCCAGGACAUCCAGAGUUACACUAAGAAACCCUGUCUCAAAAAACCAAAAACCAAACAAACAAUUUAUUCUGGGUGAUCUCUAGCACCCCAAUAAGCCAUUCCAUGCUCCUCCGUGUCAGACCUAACACCCUGCUACCAGCCAGACCUAACAUCUGGAAUGUACUAAAUUAACAAAAGGCUAAGUGUUGAAGACAGCGUCCAAGGUCACAGCAGAGUUUCUCCCAUCUUACUAUGACUUGUCUCUCUGAUGUCUCCAUCAAUGUAUUUUAAAAAUACCUUAUUUAGAACUUUCUUUGUUAUGUUGCCAUUAAGACUCCAUGAAACUGCUUCCAGGUUGGACACUACAUUUGGAGAGACCUAAAUAUAUGACCCCAGGUCAGGGUCAUUCAAAGUUUGUUCCAGAGCAAACCAUGUAUCUUAUACCUUUGAAGUAAGAGCUGUCUCUUGAUAAUACAACAAUCAAGUAUCUAUUAGAUUGGAUGUUUAUGGUCUUUAGUAUUGUCAAAUGAAUACAUUGCGUGUUUGUAA
Cricetulus griseus (Chinese hamster) is the source of this 901-nucleotide non-coding RNA. The record is from RefSeq and is a predicted model, not a curated record. NCBI's taxonomy places the organism in Eukaryota, Metazoa, Chordata, Mammalia, Rodentia, Cricetidae.